GUGGGGAAUAUUGGACAAUGGGGGCAACCCUGAUCCAGCAAUGCCGCGUGAGUGAAGAAGGCCUUAGGGUUGUAAAGCUCUUUCGCCCGUGACGAUGAUGACGGUAACGGGAGAAGAAGCCCCGGCUAAUUCCGUGCCAGCAGCCGCGGUAAUACGGAAGGGGCUAGCGUUGUUCGGAUUUACUGGGCGUAAAGCGCAUGUAGGCGGCGGAUCAAGUGAGGCGUGAAAGGCCUGGGCUCAACCUGGGAACGGCGCUUCAGACUGGUUUGCUGGAGUUCGGGAGAGGGUGGUGGAAUUCCCAGUGUAGAGGUGAAAUUCGUAGAUAUUGGGAGGAACACCGGUGGCGAAGGCGGCCACCUGGCCCGAGACUGACGCUCAAGUGCGAAAGCGUGGGGAGCAAACAGGAUUAGAUACCCUAGUAGUCC
RNAcentral lists this ribosomal RNA (425 nucleotides) under uncultured bacterium. RNAcentral describes it as "bacterial SSU rRNA". It matches the Rfam family "Bacterial small subunit ribosomal RNA", at positions 354 to 796 of the family's 1533-position model. The record is from RNAcentral.